This 216-nucleotide ribosomal RNA is filed under the name Glomeromycotina sp. Its description in RNAcentral is "partial small subunit ribosomal RNA". The stretch from base 87 to 216 matches the Rfam family "Eukaryotic small subunit ribosomal RNA", at positions 733 to 864 of the family's 1831-position model. Lineage: Eukaryota; Fungi; Glomeromycota. The record is from RNAcentral.
GGGUCAGUAGGUUGGUCGUGCCACCGGUACGUACUGGUCUCACUGAUUCCUCCUUCCUGAAGAACCGUAAUGCCACUAAUUUGGUGUUGCGGGGAAACAGGACUGUUACUUUGAAAAAAUUAGAGUGUUUAAAGCAAGCUAACGCUUGAAUACAUUAGCAUGGAAUAAUGGAAUAGGACGAUCGAUCCUAUUUUGUUGGUUUCUAGGAUUGACGUA